RNAcentral lists this ribosomal RNA (497 nucleotides) under uncultured bacterium. RNAcentral describes it as "partial 16S ribosomal RNA". It matches the Rfam family "Bacterial small subunit ribosomal RNA", at positions 28 to 507 of the family's 1533-position model. The record is from RNAcentral.
GACGAACGCUGGCGGCGUGCCUAAUACAUGCAAGUAGAACGCUGAGGAGAGGAGCUUGCUCUUCUUGGAUGAGUUGCGAACGGGUGAGUAACGCGUAGGUAACCUGCCUUGUAGCGGGGGAUAACUAUUGGAAACGAUAGCUAAUACCGCAUAACAAUGGAUGACCCAUGUCAUUUAUUUGAAAGGGGCAAAUGCUCCACUACAAGAUGGACCUGCGUUGUAUUAGCUAGUAGGUGAGGUAACGGCUCACCUAGGCGACGAUACAUAGCCGACCUGAGAGGGUGAUCGGCCACACUGGGACUGAGACACGGCCCAGACUCCUACGGGAGGCAGCAGUAGGGAAUCUUCGGCAAUGGGGGCAACCCUGACCGAGCAACGCCGCGUGAGUGAAGAAGGUUGUCGGAUCGUAAAGCUCUGUUGUAAGUCAAGAACGAGUGUGAGAGUGGAAAGUUCACACUGUGACGGUAGCUUACCAGAAAGGGACGGCUAACUACGUG